GAAUUGACACCCUAGGGUUUUUGUAUACGAACUCCCUCGUUCAUUCUUCACUGCCUUGUCUACCCCCGCAGCUUUUCCAGGAUCACCGAUGGUUCGUGUCGUGUUUUCAGUUUGAGAUUUACUGGAAUACAGUCGUUUAUAAGUUGAAGCUUUGAGUUGAAUUUCCACACUUGAACCUCCAUACAUCCAUCUUCCUUUUGUUUUGGAACGCUGAUGUUUUCAUGUAUAUUCCAUGGGCUUGGGGUCAUGACAUAGACAAUUUGAGCUUCAUUCUUGUUUUGUCGAACUAGAUCUCUUACUAUCAACGGGCAGUGCAACCCGACACAGUUUUCUGAAAGCUUAUAAACAAGGUAACACGAGUAAACUGUAUCAUGUGACAACAUCUGACUUUGAAUUUUGCACUUGAUACGAAAUUUGUGUUGUCAUGGUAGCUCAAUCGCCUCUUGAAAUCUGCAUCAAUUGAACAUAAUUUUUUACGCAACCUAAUAU
RNAcentral lists this long non-coding RNA (489 nucleotides) under Helianthus annuus (common sunflower). The record is from RNAcentral. Lineage: Eukaryota; Viridiplantae; Streptophyta; Magnoliopsida; Asterales; Asteraceae.